GCCAGGGACACGGCCUCGCGGCUCGUCCCCAAGAGGCAGCGAGCGGAAAUGAAGCAGAGUUCAGGGCUGGUGGAGCUGCGGAAGAGCCGAGAUGAGUCUGGGUGGGGAGACCAAGCUCACCUUUCAUAUUCUAAUGCCUUGCCUCUGCCUGAUUUGUGAGCUCCCGGGAGCCCUGCUGGGAAUUGGCUGGAACGGAGGCACACGCCGCCGUCCCUCGGCUCUCUGCCCUCUCUCCUCCUGGGUCAUGCCAGUGCCCUGGACCUGGGGACACAGAUGGGAUCCAGUUUGCCCAGCAAACUGCAGCACCUUGCUCUUCUCACGCUGGUCCUGUACCACCACCCCAGCACUCAGCAGCGCUGCCGUUGCCUGGACUCAUGCACACGAGUGGACACAGCAGGACGGAUGCAGGCGCUGCCUUCGGAGCGCUGGGAACGGGGGGAGAGCGUCUUUCCAGGCAGGUUUUGAUUCCCUUCUCUGAUGAAAAGAAGAAAACGGAGCCUUCAACUUUAAUCAGUUUGGAGGUUUUUUGACACGACAUAUCUUUAAUUGCUGAUAUUUCUGCUCCCCUCAAACCCGGCUGCACCAGCCCCAGCCUCAGCCGAGAUAACGAAGCAGGCUGAGGUGCG
Dryobates pubescens (Downy woodpecker) is the source of this 626-nucleotide long non-coding RNA. RefSeq lists it as uncharacterized. The transcript is spliced from 4 exons. The record is from RefSeq and is a predicted model, not a curated record. NCBI's taxonomy places the organism in Eukaryota, Metazoa, Chordata, Aves, Piciformes, Picidae.